Bos taurus (domestic cattle) is the source of this 257-nucleotide long non-coding RNA. Lineage: Eukaryota; Metazoa; Chordata; Mammalia; Artiodactyla; Bovidae. The record is from Ensembl.
CAGAGGGACCCUGGAGAAAGAACGGCACUGCACACCGCUCCCACUUUGCAAACUUCUCCAGGUGGUGAAAGAGUCCAGACCCGGGCAGGAAGGAGUCUUCUCUCUCCAGAAGUUAAGCUUAAGUCCAAGGCUGUUUGAGAAGGAAGAAUACAUUUUACAGUUUGACAGUGACUUUUAUAAAAGUGCAGAUAAGGAUGGGCACCCGGAGGACGCCCAGGACCGUGUGUGGCUGGAUUCGCAUCCACUUGGAAGUUGAU